UUUGCAUAUUCAAAAAGCGGAGGAAAAGAAACCAACAGGGAUUGCCUCAGUAACGGCGAGUGAAGCGGCAACAGCUCAAAUUUGAAAUCUGGCCUCUUGGGGUCCGAGUUGUAAUUUGUAGAGGAUGUUUCGGGUACCGCCUCGGUUUAAAUUUCUUGGAACAGAAUGUCAAAGAGGGUGAGAAUCCCGUCUUGGACCGGCGGUAGGGCCUAUGUGAAACUCCUUCGACGAGUCGAGUUGUUUGGGAAUGCAGCUCAAAAUGGGUGGUAAAUUUCAUCUAAAGCUAAAUAUUGGCCAGAGACCGAUAGCGCACAAGUAGAGUGAUCGAAAGAUGAAAAGCACUUUGAAAAGAGAGUUAAACAGUAUGUGAAAUUGUUGAAAGGGAAGCGCUUGCAACCAGACUUGAGCGCGGCGGUUCCCCCUUGCUUCUGCUUGGGUUACUCCGCCGUGUCCAGGCCAACAUCGGUUCUGGGGGUCGGUCAAAGGCUCUGGGAAUGUAUCUACCCACGGGUAGACUUAUAGACCAGGGUGUCAUGCGACCUCCCGGGACCGAGGAACGCGCUUCGGCUCGGAUGUUGGCGUAAUGGUUGUCAGCGACCCGUCUUGAAACAACGGGACCAA
This 621-nucleotide ribosomal RNA is filed under the name Fonsecaea pedrosoi. RNAcentral describes it as "partial large subunit ribosomal RNA". It matches the Rfam family "Eukaryotic large subunit ribosomal RNA", at positions 35 to 664 of the family's 3401-position model. Lineage: Eukaryota; Fungi; Ascomycota; Eurotiomycetes; Chaetothyriales; Herpotrichiellaceae. The record is from RNAcentral.